UAAUGGGUCAGCGACUUAUAUUCUGUAGCAAGGUUAACCGUAUAGGGGAGCCGAAGGGAAACCGAGUCUUAACUGGGCGUUAAGUUGCAGGGUAUAGACCCGAAACCCGGUGAUCUAGCCAUGGGCAGGUUGAAGGUUGGGUAACACUAACUGGAGGACCGAACCGACUAAUGUUGAAAAAUUAGCGGAUGACUUGUGGCUGGGGGUGAAAGGCCAAUCAAACCGGGAGAUAGCUGGUUCUCCCCGAAAGCUAUUUAGGUAGCGCCUCGUGAAUUCAUCUUCGGGGGUAGAGCACUGUUUCGGCUAGGGGGUCAUCCCGACUUACCAACCCGAUGCAAACUGCGAAUACCGAAGAAUGUUAUCACGGGAGACACACGGCGGGUGCUAACGUCCGUCGUGAAGAGGGAAACAACCCAGACCGCCAGCUAAGGUCCCAAAGUCAUGGUUAAGUGGGAAACGAUGUGGGAAGGCACAGACAGCCAGGAUGUUGGCUUAGAAGCAGCCAUCAUUUAAAGAAAGCGUAAUAGCUCACUGGUCGAGUCGGCCUGCGCGGAAGAUGUAACGGGGCUAAACCAUGCACCGAAGCUGCGGCAGCGACACUAUGUGUUGUUGGGUAGGGGAGCGUUCUGUAAGCCGUUGAAGGUGUAUCGUGAGGUAUGCUGGAGGUAUCAGAAGUGCGAAUGCUGACAUAAGUAACGAUAAUGCGGGUGAAAAACCCGCACGCCGGAAGACCAAGGGUUCCUGUCCAACGUUAAUCGGGGCAGGGUGAGUCGACCCCUAAGGCGAGGCCGAAAGGCGUAGUCGAUGGGAAACAGGUUAAUAUUCCUGUACUUGGUGUUACUGCGAAGGGGGGACGGAGAAGGCUAUGUUAGCCGGGCGACGGUUGUCCCGGUUUAAGCAUGUAGGCGGAGGUUCCAGGUAAAUCCGGUACCUUUUUAACGCUGAGGUGUGAUGACGAGGCACUACGGUGCUGAAGUAACAAAUGCCCUGCUUCCAGGAAAAGCCUCUAAGCAUCAGGUAACAUCAAAUCGUACCCCAAACCGACACAGGUGGUCAGGUAGAGAAUACCAAGGCGCUUGAGAGAACUCGGGUGAAGGAACUAGGCAAAAUGGUGCCGUAACUUCGGGAGAAGGCACGCUGAUAUGUAGGUGAAGCGGUUUACCCGUGGAGCUGAAAUCAGUCGAAGAUACCAGCUGGCUGCAACUGUUUAUUAAAAACACAGCACUGUGCAAACACGAAAGUGGACGUAUACGGUGUGACGCCUGCCCGGUGCCGGAAGGUUAAUUGAUGGGGUUAUCCGUAAGGAGAAGCUCUUGAUCGAAGCCCCGGUAAACGGCGGCCGUAACUAUAACGGUCCUAAGGUAGCGAAAUUCCUUGUCGGGUAAGUUCCGACCUGCACGAAUGGCGUAAUGAUGGCCAGGCUGUCUCCACCCGAGACUCAGUGAAAUUGAACUCGCUGUGAAGAUGCAGUGUACCCGCGGCAAGACGGAAAGACCCCGUGAACCUUUACUAUAGCUUGACACUGAACACUGGUCCUUGAUGUGUAGGAUAGGUGGGAGGCUUUGAAGUGUGGACGCCAGUCUGCAUGGAGCCAUCCUUGAAAUACCACCCUUUAAUGGCUGGUGUUCUAACGUGGACCCGUAAUCCGGGUUGCGGACAGUGUCUGGUGGGUAGUUUGACUGGGGCGGUCUCCUCCUAAAGAGUAACGGAGGAGCACGAAGGUUAGCUAAUCCUGGUCGGACAUCAGGAGGUUAGUGCAAAGGCAUAAGCUAGCUUGACUGCGAGAGUGACGGCUCGAGCAGGUGCGAAAGCAGGUCUUAGUGAUCCGGUGGUUCUGAAUGGAAGGGCCAUCGCUCAACGGAUAAAAGGUACUCCGGGGAUAACAGGCUGAUACCGCCCAAGAGUUCAUAUCGACGGCGGUGUUUGGCACCUCGAUGUCGGCUCAUCACAUCCUGGGGCUGAAGUAGGUCCCAAGGGUAUGGCUGUUCGCCAUUUAAAGUGGUACGCGAGCUGGGUUUAGAACGUCGUGAGACAGUUCGGUCCCUAUCUGCCGUGGGCGCUGGAGAAUUGAGGGGGGCUGCUCCUAGUACGAGAGGACCGGAGUGGACGCAUCACUGGUGUUCGGGUUGUCAUGCCAAUGGCAUUGCCCGGUAGCUAAAUGCGGAAGAGAUAAGUGCUGAAAGCAUCUAAGCACGAAACUUGCCCCG
This 2207-nucleotide ribosomal RNA is filed under the name Citrobacter freundii. RNAcentral describes it as "partial 23S ribosomal RNA". It matches the Rfam family "Bacterial large subunit ribosomal RNA", at positions 613 to 2801 of the family's 2925-position model. The record is from RNAcentral. Lineage: Bacteria; Pseudomonadati; Pseudomonadota; Gammaproteobacteria; Enterobacterales; Enterobacteriaceae.